RNAcentral lists this transfer RNA (77 nucleotides) under Candidatus Megaera polyxenophila. RNAcentral's name for it is "tRNA-Val". It matches the Rfam family "tRNA". From Rfam's summary of the family: Transfer RNA (tRNA) molecules are approximately 80 nucleotides in length. Their secondary structure includes four short double-helical elements and three loops (D, anti-codon, and T loops). Further hydrogen bonds mediate the characteristic L-shaped molecular structure. tRNAs have two regions of fundamental functional importance: the anti-codon, which is responsible for specific mRNA codon recognition, and the 3' end, to which the tRNAs corresponding amino acid is attached (by aminoacyl-tRNA synthetases). tRNAs cope with the degeneracy of the genetic code in two manners: having more than one tRNA (with a specific anti-codon) for a particular amino acid; and 'wobble' base-pairing, i.e. permitting non-standard base-pairing at the 3rd anti-codon position. The record is from RNAcentral. Lineage: Bacteria; Pseudomonadati; Pseudomonadota; Alphaproteobacteria; Rickettsiales; Rickettsiaceae. RNAcentral also lists the same sequence under 6 other names.
GGGCGGUUAGCUCAGUUGGUUAGAGCAUUACGUUGACAUCGUAAAGGUCGGAAGUUCGAGUCUUCUACCGCCCACCA